GGGUCCUCACUUUCCAGGGAUGGCGGGGCGGAGGGGAGGCAGUUUCAGAUACGCCAGUCCUCUAAAAGAUUAGUUCUUAACCCCCUCUUCCCUUAGCGCCUCUCUGGGCUGGAAGCCAGCAGUCUGUAUAGUAUGAAAUGUAUUAAGGAGUUGGGAGACAUCAGGAAGGGCUUUCCGCCUAUGUUGAGUAACUGUGUGCUAGGUGCUGACACUGGGAUUGGGAUGGCUUAGAGAAAAAGCAGUUAGGUUUGUGCAUUCAGAGAACUUACCUUUCGGUGCAGCAGAAGACAGGGGAUUAGUAGAAUGUGAAAGAAACGAGACUGGCGCCCGCCACGGAUCACAUAUUACGAAGAGAGUGGACCCUUCUUCCCCUCCUUGUCCGCCCCUAGGUGCAGCCUUUCCUUUAAUUCCAUCCCACUUCUCAAGUUGUUUUUGCAGCUUUAGAACUGUUGACUGAGCAUCCUAAACUGCGUGGUUUGUCCCCCACCCUUCCAAAUAUGUGAUUUCGGUGUAAGCCCCGCCCCGCACACCACCGCCUUUCUUUAUAACAGCUUGUGCUGGUCUUU
RNAcentral lists this long non-coding RNA (566 nucleotides) under Bos taurus (domestic cattle). RNAcentral's name for it is "long non-coding RNA NONBTAT018842". The record is from RNAcentral. Lineage: Eukaryota; Metazoa; Chordata; Mammalia; Artiodactyla; Bovidae.